Molecule: ribosomal RNA, 429 nt
Filed under: Acidobacteriota bacterium
Lineage: Bacteria; Pseudomonadati; Acidobacteriota
Description: Acidobacteria bacterium partial 16S ribosomal RNA
Rfam family: Bacterial small subunit ribosomal RNA
Source: RNAcentral
UGGGGAAUUUUGGACAAUGGGGGCAACCCUGAUCCAGCAAUGCCGCGUGUGUGAAGAAGGCCUUCGGGUUGUAAAGCACUUUUGUCCGGGAAGAAAUCGCACCUGAUAAUACCGGGUGUGGAUGAUGGUACCGGAAGAAUAAGGACCGGCUAACUACGUGCCAGCAGCCGCGGUAAUACGUAGGGUCCAAGCGUUAAUCGGAAUUACUGGGCGUAAAGCGUGCGCAGGCGGUUGUGCAAGACCGAUGUGAAAUCCCCGGGCUUAACCUGGGAAUUGCAUUGGUGACUGCACGGCUAGAGUGUGUCAGAGGGGGGUAGAAUUCCACGUGUAGCAGUGAAAUGCGUAGAGAUGUGGAGGAAUACCGAUGGCGAAGGCAGCCCCCUGGGAUAACACUGACGCUCAUGCACGAAAGCGUGGGGAGCAAACAGG